GCUGAUUGCACAUCCGCUCUGCGUGACAAUGAAGCAUCUCAUCUUGCAUACCGGGACCACCCAUUCCUGGCAGUGGAAGAACAGGCGGAGGUCCUGGACGCGGUGGCCCGACUGCGGCUGGACCACCUGCAUGUGAAGCUGGCAUAAAGUUUGAACCUAAUGCCUUUGUUAAAUAAUAUAUUGGAAGGUUGGGACAGCGAUAGUUCGAACUGAAAUGGAAAAUUUAUCACGACACCCUGAAAUCGCCGUCUCUGUAUUUCUUAGGAGACCUCUUCAC
Molecule: long non-coding RNA, 277 nt
Organism: Dermacentor silvarum
Lineage: Eukaryota; Metazoa; Arthropoda; Arachnida; Ixodida; Ixodidae
Exons: 3
Source: RefSeq, a predicted model, not a curated record